CGGUGACGGCAACGGCGAUAAUAAUAAUAAUAAUAAUAAUAAUCGGGUCUCCGAGGAUUAUUAUUAUUAUUAUUAUUAUUGUCGCCGCGGUUU
Molecule: non-coding RNA, 93 nt
Organism: Cinara cedri
Lineage: Eukaryota; Metazoa; Arthropoda; Insecta; Hemiptera; Aphididae
Source: the annotation of a GenBank genome assembly